Molecule: ribosomal RNA, 1009 nt
Filed under: Staphylococcus aureus
Lineage: Bacteria; Bacillati; Bacillota; Bacilli; Caryophanales; Staphylococcaceae
Description: bacterial SSU rRNA
Rfam family: Bacterial small subunit ribosomal RNA
Source: RNAcentral
UUUAUUGAGAGUUUGAUCCUGGCUCAGGAUGAACGCUGGCGGCGUGCCUAAUACAUGCAAGUCGAGCGAACGGACGAGAAGCUUGCUUCUCUGAUGUUAGCGGCGGACGGGUGAGUAACACGUGGAUAACCUACCUAUAAGACUGGGAUAACUUCGGGAAACCGGAGCUAAUACCGGAUAAUAUUUUGAACCGCAUGGUUCAAAAGUGAAAGACGGUCUUGCUGUCACUUAUAGAUGGAUCCGCGCUGCAUUAGCUAGUUGGUAAGGUAACGGCUUACCAAGGCAACGAUGCAUAGCCGACCUGAGAGGGUGAUCGGCCACACUGGAACUGAGACACGGUCCAGACUCCUACGGGAGGCAGCAGUAGGGAAUCUUCCGCAAUGGGCGAAAGCCUGACGGAGCAACGCCGCGUGAGUGAUGAAGGUCUUCGGAUCGUAAAACUCUGUUAUUAGGGAAGAACAUAUGUGUAAGUAACUGUGCACAUCUUGACGGUACCUAAUCAGAAAGCCACGGCUAACUACGUGCCAGCAGCCGCGGUAAUACGUAGGUGGCAAGCGUUAUCCGGAAUUAUUGGGCGUAAAGCGCGCGUAGGCGGUUUUUUAAGUCUGAUGUGAAAGCCCACGGCUCAACCGUGGAGGGUCAUUGGAAACUGGAAAACUUGAGUGCAGAAGAGGAAAGUGGAAUUCCAUGUGUAGCGGUGAAAUGCGCAGAGAUAUGGAGGAACACCAGUGGCGAAGGCGACUUUCUGGUCUGUAACUGACGCUGAUGUGCGAAAGCGUGGGGAUCAAACAGGAUUAGAUACCCUGGUAGUCCACGCCGUAAACGAUGAGUGCUAAGUGUUAGGGGGUUUCCGCCCCUUAGUGCUGCAGCUAACGCAUUAAGCACUCCGCCUGGGGAGUACGACCGCAAGGUUGAAACUCAAAGGAAUUGACGGGGACCCGCACAAGCGGUGGAGCAUGUGGUUUAAUUCGAAGCAACGCGAAGAACCUUACCAAAUCUUGACAUCCUU